This 841-nucleotide long non-coding RNA is filed under the name Sorghum bicolor (sorghum). RNAcentral describes it as "long non-coding RNA (SBIC_LNC003029)". The record is from RNAcentral. Lineage: Eukaryota; Viridiplantae; Streptophyta; Magnoliopsida; Poales; Poaceae.
ACCCAACCAAAGUUUUGCACCAAACAAAGAUAGCAAACUGGUUGUAGAACUUGAUAUGAAACUUUCAGCACUUGUGCAAAUAAACCAACUAAUCUUUCAGACUUUCUCUCUGAACCUUUCUCAACUUUUUUUUUCACUUCACUUUUUUUUGCACUUUCUUUUCUUUCUUUUUUGACACACUUUUUUUAUAUAUAGAACUAAAAACAGGGAUCAGAUUAUGAUACUUGCACAACUAAAGACAGAAAUAAAACAACAACCAGUAACUAGAUAGGAUCAAAGUUAACACAAAGGAUGAUAUAGGCUAUAGAGAUUUUUUUGUGGGGGUUUUUAGAUAUAAAAGAGGCACAAAGAACACGCGAAGGAUAAAUGAUCAGCAACUAAAACAAAGACUCUAAUGGACUGCGACUUAACCGAACUCACUAAAAUAACAGAUUGAAACAAAGGUCUAAGCAAUAUAUUUUUCUGGCUUUUUGGUGGAUACGACGAAGCAAAAUAUAUAUGUAGCUAGGGAUAAAAUUCCUACCGUGGUAACGAAAGCUUUGAUACCAGAUGAUGCGACACGUUGUCCCGAUCUUCACGACGUAGGAUGAACACCGAUAACUAGCUGAAGAACAGCCGGAUAACUUGCUGCAAGCAGCGAUAACUAGUGCAACCUGGCAAAUAAAACUCGAAGCCAACCACCGUCUUUAACCGGCAACCUGAAUCGAGGAUUCGCCCAACCACACUCUCAAAGAACCAACCAACACAGCCUACAAUCAAUCAAGGAAUACCUUGAAGGGAGUAGGAGCACCAAUUGGGAGCGGAUGAAGCCGCCGCCUAUGUAAUCCCGCGAGGAAAUCAC